Molecule: ribosomal RNA, 497 nt
Filed under: uncultured bacterium
Lineage: Bacteria
Description: partial 16S ribosomal RNA
Rfam family: Bacterial small subunit ribosomal RNA
Source: RNAcentral
ACUCAAAUGAAUUGACGGGGGCCCGCACAAGCGGUGGAGCAUGUGGUUCAAUUCGACGCAACGCGAAGAACCUUACCCAGGCUCGAACGGGGAGUGACAUUCGGUGAAAGCCGGCUUCCGCAAGGACACUCCUCGAGGUGCUGCAUGGCUGUCGUCAGCUCGUGUCGUGAGAUGUUGGGUUAAGUCCCGCAACGAGCGCAACCCUUGUCUUCUGUUGCCAUCACGUUAUGGUGGGCACUCUGAAGAGACUGCCGGUGACAAACCGGAGGAAGGUGGGGAUGACGUCAAGUCAGCAUGGCCUUUAUGUCUGGGGCUACACACGUGCUACAAUGGCAGAUACAAACCGUCGCGAUACCGCAAGGUGGAGCUAAUCGGAGAAAGUCUGUCUCAGUUCGGAUUGCAGGCUGCAACUCGCCUGCAUGAAGUUGGAAUCGCUAGUAAUCGCGGAUCAGCACGCCGCGGUGAAUACGUUCCCGGGCCUUGCACACACCGCCCGU